GACGAACGCUGGCGGCGUGCCUAAUACAUGCAAGUAGAACGCUGAAGGAGGAGCUUGCUUCUCUGGAUGAGUUGCGAACGGGUGAGUAACGCGUAGGUAACCUGCCUGGUAGCGGGGGAUAACUAUUGGAAACGAUAGCUAAUACCGCAUAAUAGUAGAUGUUGCAUGACAUUGCUUAAAAGGUGCAAUUGCAUCACUACCAGAUGGACCUGCGUUGUAUUAGCUAGUUGGUGAGGUAACGGCUCACCAAGGCGACGAUACAUAGCCGACCUGAGAGGGUGAUCGGCCACACUGGGACUGAGACACGGCCCAGACUCCUACGGGAGGCAGCAGUAGGGAAUCUUCGGCAAUGGACGGAAGUCUGACCGAGCAACGCCGCGUGAGUGAAGAAGGUUUUCGGAUCGUAAAGCUCUGUUGUAAGAGAAGAACGAGUGUGAGAGUGGAAAGUUCACACUGUGACGGUAUCUUACCAGAAAGGGACGGCUAACUACGUGCCAGCAGCCGCGGUAAUACGUAGGUCCCGAGCGUUGUCCGGAUUUAUUGGGCGUAAAGCGAGCGCAGGCGGUUAGAUAAGUCUGAAGUUAAAGGCUGUGGCUUAACCAUAGUACGCUUUGGAAACUGUUUAACUUGAGUGCAAGAGGGGAGAGUGGAAUUCCAUGUGUAGCGGUGAAAUGCGUAGAUAUAUGGAGGAACACCGGUGGCGAAAGCGGCUCUCUGGCUUGUAACUGACGCUGAGGCUCGAAAGCGUGGGGAGCAAACAGG
RNAcentral lists this ribosomal RNA (762 nucleotides) under uncultured Streptococcus sp. Its description in RNAcentral is "bacterial SSU rRNA". It matches the Rfam family "Bacterial small subunit ribosomal RNA", at positions 28 to 776 of the family's 1533-position model. Lineage: Bacteria; Bacillati; Bacillota; Bacilli; Lactobacillales; Streptococcaceae. The record is from RNAcentral.